CUGCCCUCAAGCACGGCUUGUGUGUUGGGUGUGGUCCCCUCCCUGGCGGGGGGACCUGCCCGAAAGGCAGCGGCGACGUCGCGUCCGGUCCUCGAGCGUAUGGGGCUUUGUCACUCGCUCGGGAAGGAUUGGCGCAACGUCUGUCACCCACUGUAUUAUUUUACCAC
This 167-nucleotide unclassified non-coding RNA is filed under the name Talaromyces ramulosus. RNAcentral's name for it is "partial internal transcribed spacer 2". The record is from RNAcentral. Lineage: Eukaryota; Fungi; Ascomycota; Eurotiomycetes; Eurotiales; Trichocomaceae.